Molecule: non-coding RNA, 68 nt
Organism: Caenorhabditis remanei
Lineage: Eukaryota; Metazoa; Nematoda; Chromadorea; Rhabditida; Rhabditidae
Source: Rfam
CUCGAGAGGCAGUGUGGUUAGCUGGUUGCAUAUUGAAUUGACAACGGCUACCUUCACUGCCACCCCGA